RNAcentral lists this unclassified non-coding RNA (296 nucleotides) under fungal sp. RNAcentral describes it as "partial internal transcribed spacer region". The stretch from base 1 to 46 matches the Rfam family "Eukaryotic small subunit ribosomal RNA", at positions 1786 to 1831 of the family's 1831-position model. The record is from RNAcentral. Lineage: Eukaryota; Fungi.
AAGUCGUAACAAGGUAAUCGUAGGUGAACCUGCGGUUGGAUCAUUCGAAAUGGAGGCAUGUCGUCGCACCUAUCAGAGGAGGCAUGUCGUCGCACGCAGUGUGACGGCAGGACGACUCUCACAAAAAGUGUCGACUCUCCUUUUAGAGAGGAGACACAAUCACACCUAAAAACAAGAAAAACAAGAAAAGUGAUGAUGAUGGCAUAUGCCCAUCUCUUUUACACAAUCCAUCAUACGACAUGACAUGACAUGACAUGGCAAUACUAUAACUUUUGACAAUGGAUCUCUUGGUUCUC